CCGAACCGACUAAUGUUGAAAAAUUAGCGGAUGACCUGUGGCUGGGGGUGAAAGGCCAAUCAAACCGGGAGAUAGCUGGUUCUCCCCGAAAGCUAUUUAGGUAGCGCCUCGUGAAUUCAUCUCCGGGGGUAGAGCACUGUUUCGGCUAGGGGGCCAUCCCGGCUUACCAACCCGAUGCAAACUGCGAAUACCGGAGAAUGUUAUCACGGGAGACACACGGCGGGUGCUAACGUCCGUCGUGAAGAGGGAAACAACCCAGACCGCCAGCUAAGGUCCCAAAGUCAUGGUUAAGUGGGAAACGAUGUGGGAAGGCCCAGACAGCCAGGAUGUUGGCUUAGAAGCAGCCAUCAUUUAAAGAAAGCGUAAUAGCUCACUGGUCGAGUCGGCCUGCGCGGAAGAUGUAACGGGGCUAAACCAUGCACCGAAGCUGCGGCAGCGACACUGUGUGUUGUUGGGUAGGGGA
RNAcentral lists this ribosomal RNA (463 nucleotides) under Salmonella enterica. RNAcentral describes it as "partial 23S ribosomal RNA". It matches the Rfam family "Bacterial large subunit ribosomal RNA", at positions 774 to 1235 of the family's 2925-position model. The record is from RNAcentral. RNAcentral also lists the same sequence under 1 other name. Lineage: Bacteria; Pseudomonadati; Pseudomonadota; Gammaproteobacteria; Enterobacterales; Enterobacteriaceae.